GGGAGAUAUGGAAAUUA
RNAcentral lists this ribosomal RNA (17 nucleotides) under Colletotrichum scovillei. RNAcentral describes it as "partial 18S ribosomal RNA". Lineage: Eukaryota; Fungi; Ascomycota; Sordariomycetes; Glomerellales; Glomerellaceae. The record is from RNAcentral.